UACCAGCACCCCGAGUGGUCGGGACGUUUAUUGGGCCUAAAGCAUCCGUAGCCGGUUCUACAAGUCUUCCGUUAAAUCCACCUGCUUAACAGAUGGGCUGCGGAAGAUACUAUAGAAGCUAGGAGGCGGGAGAGGCAAGCGGUACUCGAUGGGUAGGGGUAAAAUCCGUUGAUCCAUUGAAGACCACCAGUGGCGAAGGCGGCUUGCCAGAACGCGCUCGACGGUGAGGGAUGAAAGCUGGGGGGAGCAAACCGG
This 255-nucleotide ribosomal RNA is filed under the name uncultured bacterium. RNAcentral describes it as "partial 16S ribosomal RNA". It matches the Rfam family "Archaeal small subunit ribosomal RNA", at positions 474 to 727 of the family's 1478-position model. The record is from RNAcentral.